This 1518-nucleotide long non-coding RNA is filed under the name Oncorhynchus kisutch (coho salmon). RNAcentral describes it as "lncRNA (ENSOKIG00005043261.1)". Lineage: Eukaryota; Metazoa; Chordata; Actinopteri; Salmoniformes; Salmonidae. The record is from RNAcentral.
UAACGUUAUACAUCAAAGCUACUACUGACUAUAUCGCCCAAUCUGGUGAGAGUCUGUGGUUUUGUCAACAGUCUGUAUCAUUACAAGUGUCCUGUAUGAAUAACCCUGUUGGCCUUGUCCAAAUACCCAGACUAGUGUACUAAAUUGUAUGUGAAAAAAUAAAGUUAUAUUGUAUGUGAAAUUUAAAAAUAAAAAAAUACUAGGUCAAAUGCCUCAUCUAAUGCGCGAUUGGGUUGACUAACCACCAUUCAUCGAUUUCAAAUCAAAUGUUAUUAAUCACAUGAGCCAAAUACAAGUAUAGACCAUACAGUGAAAUGCUUAGUUGCCCCCUAACCAACAACUGUUUAAAACAUACAAAUAAGAAUAAGAAAUCAAAAAGAAACAAGUAGUUAAAGAGCUGCAGUAAAAUAACAAUAGUGACAGAGUCAAUGUGCAGGGGGUACCGGUACAGAGUCAAUGUGCAGGGGGUACCGGUACAGAGUCAAUGUGCAGGGGGUACCGGUACAGAGUCAAUGUGCUGGGGGUACCGGUACAGAGUCAAUGUGCAGGGGGUACAGGUACAGAGUCAAUGUGCAGGGGGUACCGGUACAGAGUCAAUGUGCAGGGGGUACCGGUACAGAGUCAAUGUGCAGGGGGUACCGGUACAGAGUCAAUGUGCAGGGGGUACCGGUACAUGAGUACAGAGUCAAUGUGCAGGGGGGUACCGGUACAGAGUCAAUGUGCAGGGGGUACCGGUACAGAGUCAAUGUGCAGGGGGUACCGGUACAGAGUCAAUGUGCAGGGGGUACCGGUACAGAGUCAAUGUGCAGGGGGUACCGGUACAGAGUCAAUGUGCAGGGGGUACCGGUACAGAGUCAAUGUGCAGGGGGUACCGGUACAGAGUCAAUGUGCAGGGGGUACCGGUACAGAGUCAAUGUGCAGGGGGUACCGGUACAGAAUCAAUGUGCAGGGGGUACCGGUACAGAGUCAAUGUGCAGGGGGUACCGGUACAGAGUCAAUGUGCAGGGGGUACCGGUACAGAGUCAAUGUGCGGGGGUACCGGUACAGAGUCAAUGUGCAGGGGGUACCGGUACAGAGUCAAUGUGCAGGGGGUACCGGUACAGAGUCAAUGUGCAGGGGGUACCGGUACAGAGUCAAUGUGCUGCGGGGUACCGGUACAGAGUCAAUGUGCAGGGGGUACCGGUACAGAGUCAAUGUGCAGGGGGUACCGAUACAGAGUCAAUGUGCAGGGGGUACCGGUACAGAGUCAAUGUGCUGGGGGUACAGGUACAGAGUCAAUGUGCUGGGGGUACAGGUACAGAGUCAAUGUGCUGGGGGGUACCGGUACAGAGUCAAUGUGCAGGGGGUACCGGUACAGAGUCAAUGUGCAGGGGGUACCGGUACAGAGUCAAUGUGCUGGGGGUACAGGUACAGAGUCAAUGUGCUGGGGGGGUACAGGUACAGAGUCAAUGUGCUGGGGGGGUACAGGUACAGAGUCAAUGUGCAGGGGGUACCGGCACAGAGUCAAUGUGCAGGGGG